Long non-coding RNA from Cyprinus carpio carpio, 1500 nucleotides. Lineage: Eukaryota; Metazoa; Chordata; Actinopteri; Cypriniformes; Cyprinidae. The record is from Ensembl.
CAUUUUACUGUAUUGUUGGAUAAUUUCUGUAAAUAUGUGUGUAAAGCUCUUCAAACCCACAGAACUCUCACAGACUCAUUAAAAAGAGCAAAGGCUUGUUUGAGAAAAUGCCAGACAUUUUAAAGCUUAGAGAAAGGUCAUGCUUAUAUAAAAGAAAUACACGUUAGCCUUAUUACAGAAAAAAAUAUUGUUUAAGAGAAUACACUGCAAAUUGAACGUGAUGUUUUUGAACACUUAAUUGCAUGUUAAUUGCAAAUAAAUUAAAAGGUAUAAUGAUUUAAAUUUACAUUAAAUGCAAUUAGCUGAACUUUAAUGUGCUUUCUUACUCACUUAAGUAGGACUGUACAUCUUAAUAUUUAAUUUCAUAAUUACUUCUGUUGUUUUUUAAAAUAUUGUUAAACUGUACUGCCAGAUAUACUGACAAACAUUUAUGGUAUACUAAAAGGUACUUUAAUGCAAUUUCCAUCAAAACGUGUAUGUCAUGUUUUUAAGCAUAUUAACUACGAAUUUGUAAUGAUAAAAUUACACUAUAUUAACAUCAGUGUUAUACUGAAUAUUUAAAAUUAUGUUCUUCAAAGCACAACAAAAGAUUAUUAAAACAAUGAUUUAAAAUGUACUUUAAUGUAAAAAUUUUAAUUUGACUUUAUUACAAAGUGCACUUCAUAAAAGUGUACUUACUAUGUUAAUAAGUCAUGCAAAUCUGCUCUAUUUAAGCACACUUAAGUGGACUUUUAUUUCAUUAUUAAUAUUAUAUUAUUAAUAUUGUAUUAUGCUAGAUGUGAAGUACACUACAAGUGCACAUUCAAUAAAAUUAAGUGCACUUCUUUUUCACAAGGACAGUCAUAAUAAGGUCGUCUAAAGAUAUGCACCAUAUGUCUGAGUUUUGUGUGUUCUCUGUAGAAGAGUAAGUGCUCAGGGUCUUGUGGACGCUAAAAGGUUAACCUGAACAUGAGAGCCUGACUCAUCUCUAUCAAUUUUUGUUUGUGAAACAGUGGAAAAUGCCUGAAGGCUCGUGUAUGUGUGUGUGAAAUAUUAGUUCUCCUCCUCUUCCCGCAGGCACACUUUGCACCUGAAGCUGAAUCGGGCCCCGAUUGGCUCUACUUCUGCUUAUCUCUCCGGGUUGCUCCACACCCUCUGCCCGCCGGCGCUGGUCACAUGCUUGUCCUGCUCGACUGGCCUGGACCACACCCCGUCCUACAUACCUGCUCCUCACCUGCACUGUACCGAGUGACACUUUCAUAAAAAAGAGAGACGAUAAAUGACCGGAAAAGAUGGGGGAAGAUAGAAGAACUGAAACAGAAUGGUAGGAGAGUCCGCACCUCUCAACACACACACGUUAAUAACAGGAUAUUAAAGAGGUGAAAUAAUUAAGCUAACAAGAGAACGUGUCUGGCUAAGCUGUCUCCUAAGGUCCGAUAUCGAUACAUUAGCUUAGACAAGCGCAAUGCAUUUUACAUGGGGCCCUGGGAAAAUGAUUGAUCAAGGCAUAAUAGCAGGCCC